UUUCUGUAGACCUUUAUAUUGUUCAACAAGAUGCUGUCAUUCACGUUCUCAAGCAAUCCUCCCUCAGCAAGCUUGUAAGAGAGACAGAAUGGAAAAUAGCCCCAUCUUACAGGUUAAGUAUACCUUCAAUUUCCAACUGGGACCCUGACUGAUGAAAGCAUCCACUAUACGCCGUGCUAAUGCAGUCUUCUUGUGAGGAAGGUAUUUUUGGACCCAGCUUACAGGUGGAAAAACUGAGUUCUCUGUGGAGGACAACUGCACAACCAUGCUACAGAUCCCACUCCAAGGCCUCCAAUCCUACAGAGUUUUCUUUUCUUUCUGAAGAUUCACCGCUUUAAAGGCCAUCAAGAAACGAGACGGGUGAAUGUGGAUAAUGAUCAAAGCUGGUUGAUCCGUACAUGGCGAAUCAUUAUAUCAUUCUCUCUAUUUCGUGUGUGUAAAAUCUCCAUAAUAAAAAGA
Molecule: non-coding RNA, 459 nt
Organism: Equus caballus (horse)
Lineage: Eukaryota; Metazoa; Chordata; Mammalia; Perissodactyla; Equidae
Source: RefSeq, a predicted model, not a curated record